This 163-nucleotide ribosomal RNA is filed under the name uncultured bacterium. RNAcentral describes it as "partial 16S rRNA". It matches the Rfam family "Bacterial small subunit ribosomal RNA", at positions 355 to 510 of the family's 1533-position model. The record is from RNAcentral.
UGGGGAAUCUUCCACAAUGGACGCAAGUCUGAUGGAGCAACGCCGCGUGAGUGAAGAAGGUCUUCGGAUCGUAAAACUCUGUUGUUAGAGAAGAACACGAGUGAGAGUAACUGUUCAUUCGAUGACGGUAUCUAACCAGCAAGUCACGGCUAACUACGUGCAG